CUUGCCUUCUGCCAGCGGUCUGGGGGCUCCCAGUUCUGGCAGCCCAUCAUUCAGCUCCUUCCUGUCCUCCGGAUCGGGACCUCGAUCGAGAUUGGUUCCGGCACCGCCACACUGUUCUGGUUCGAUAGAUGGACUGGUGACACGCCCCUUGCGGCUCGCUUUCCGGACCUGUUCUCCAUCUCGGUUGCUCCGUAGAUCUCCAUGGCGACCGCCCUUAUUGACUUAGGGUAACUCGUGUUCCGGAGACCUUUUGGCCCGGCUGAGAACGCGGACUGGCAAGAGCUGCUCAACUGUAUUGCUCUCCACGAGCCUGAUCUCUUAGCGGACGAUGACCGCACCAGAUGGCGGCUAUAGCCUUCUGGACAAUUCUCCACCAAAUCUCUCUACCUGUCCAUCGUCCCCUCGCUUGGCCAUGAGGCGCUCUCCUCCAUUUGGGAGAUUCGCCUCCCCCUGAAAAUUAGGAUCUUCUUGUGGCAAUGA
This 480-nucleotide ribosomal RNA is filed under the name Triticum aestivum (bread wheat). RNAcentral describes it as "partial small subunit ribosomal RNA". The record is from RNAcentral. Lineage: Eukaryota; Viridiplantae; Streptophyta; Magnoliopsida; Poales; Poaceae.